CUUCGCCGGCGACCGGCGCACGGGUGAGUAACACGUAUGCAACCUGCCCCUGUCAGGGGGACAACCCGCCGAAAGGCGGGCUAAACCCGCGUACAUGCCACCGGGGCAUCCCGGAGGCAGGAAAGGCUUCGGCCGGACAGGGAUGGGCAUGCGGCGCAUUAGGCAGUAGGCGGGGUAACGGCCCACCUAACCGACGAUGCGUAGGGGUUCUGAGAGGAAGGUCCCCCACACUGGUACUGAGACACGGACCAGACUCCUACGGAAGGCAGCAG
RNAcentral lists this ribosomal RNA (272 nucleotides) under uncultured bacterium. Its description in RNAcentral is "partial 16S ribosomal RNA". It matches the Rfam family "Bacterial small subunit ribosomal RNA", at positions 83 to 354 of the family's 1533-position model. The record is from RNAcentral.